UACGUCUCAGUUCAGAUUGCAGGCUGCAACUCGCCUGCAUGAAGUCGGAAUUGCUAGUAAUCGCAGAUCAGCAUGCUGCGGUGAAUACGUUCCCGGGCCUUGUACACACCGCCCGUCACACCAUGGGAGUCGGUAACACCCGAAGUCGGUAGCCUAACCGUAAGGAGGGCGCCGCCGAAGGUGGGAUUGGUGACUGGGGUGAAGUCGUAACAAGGUAGC
RNAcentral lists this ribosomal RNA (219 nucleotides) under uncultured bacterium. Its description in RNAcentral is "partial 16S ribosomal RNA". It matches the Rfam family "Bacterial small subunit ribosomal RNA", at positions 1282 to 1500 of the family's 1533-position model. The record is from RNAcentral.